RNAcentral lists this ribosomal RNA (507 nucleotides) under uncultured Glomeraceae. Its description in RNAcentral is "SSU rRNA". It matches the Rfam family "Eukaryotic small subunit ribosomal RNA", at positions 569 to 1081 of the family's 1831-position model. Lineage: Eukaryota; Fungi; Glomeromycota; Glomeromycetes; Glomerales; Glomeraceae. The record is from RNAcentral.
AGCAGCCGCGGUAAUUCCAGCUCCAAUAGCGUAUAUUAAAGUUGUUGCAGUUAAAAAGCUCGUAGUUGAAUUUCGGGAUCAAUAUGCCGGUCAUGCCUUGGUAUGCACUGGUAUCUUUGAUUUCUCCCUUCUGACGAACUUUGAUGUCAUUAAUUUGGUGUCAUAGGGAAUCAGGACUGUUACUUUGAAAAAAUUGAGUGUUUAAAGCAAGCUCACGCUUGAAUACAUUAGCAUGGAAUAAUGAAAUAGGACGUUUGAUUCUAUUUUGUUGGUUUCUAGGACCGACGUAAUGAUUAAUAGGGAUAGUUGGGGGCAUUAGUAUUCAAUUGUCAGAGGUGAAAUUCUUGGAUUUAUUGAAGACUAACUACUGCGAAAGCAUUUGCCAAGGAUGUUUUCAUUAAUCAAGAACGAAAGUUAGGGGAUCGAAGACGAUCAGAUACCGUCGUAGUCUUAACCAUAAACUAUGCCGACUAGGGAUCGGAUGAUGUUAAUUUUUUAAUGUACUUC